Molecule: long non-coding RNA, 4764 nt
Filed under: Linum usitatissimum (flax)
Lineage: Eukaryota; Viridiplantae; Streptophyta; Magnoliopsida; Malpighiales; Linaceae
Description: long non-coding RNA (LUSI_LNC002608)
Source: RNAcentral
CAUGACAGCAAUGUUUGGUUAUGGUAAGUUUUCAUAUAAAACAAGUGGCAGGUUCGGGCUGCAAGAAGUGGCAGUGCUCAACGUAGUAUGGUGGUUGGAGAUUCGGGGCAAGAUCAGUACUUGAUUUCUGUCACCGGGAACUUCUUACGGGGCCUAUUUGGUGUACAAGUUCAAGGAGGACUUCUACUUUUUCGAAAAGAGAAGGUGAAAGUAGGAGUCGUAGGAGUCAGGGAAGCUGAAGAAGUGAAGUUGGCGGGGCGGAGAGUUGCAGAAUCAAGAAGAGGAUGUGUGUGGCUGUCCAGAGGGACGAUGAGUGGCUCUACAGAUGAGACCGAGUGGCGUAGGGUGAAACUCGGAGAGUUCAAGAACAAGGAAGAAGAAGACGAUCAAGUUGAGUUCUUUGUCAUGGAAGUUGAAAACGGUAAUCGACAAGGGCUGAGUUUUCAAUAGACGAUUGUUCCAUCAUGUUUACCAGUUAAGCGAAACAAUAAAUAGCUACAUUAUAGGAAUCUAAGAUGAUGAAUAAUAGACCAUCAAACUACAGAAACAAAUAACCAUGGCCUCUCUUUUCAAGCUAAGUAAAGCUCAGUUAUAUCAGAAGGAAGUAUCAGCUUUCUUCACAACAGCCAAAGCUGCAGAAAGAAACAACCAUGAAUAUGUACACAAACUACCCUUCUGCAUUGACAAUACCAUAGUAGCUAGAACAAGUGAUUCAACGAAGCUCCAACAAAAUCAAAUGUAAGAACAAGGAACCCCCUCAGAGAUCAUAGCACGAGUUCGAAAGAUCACGAGGCAGAUGAUGCUUAUAGUAAUUCAUACUACAGGUAAGACCAAAUAGACACCCAGAAAAACAGAUAUCCAGCAAUUGGAAAGGCAUGCAUAGCACGACCAUAAAUUCAUAAAAAGUUCAGCACUUUGACAAGGUUUCAGAUGUUGGAGCAUAUAAAGAAGCUACCAGUUGGGGGAAAUCGACAAUACCCACAAGCAAGCAAGCAGCAUUGACAAUAAUUCAACGUAUAUGUACACAAAAUACCCUGCUGCAUUGACAGUACCAGAGUAGGUAGAACAAGGGAUUCAACAAAGCUCAAACAAAAUCAAAUGCAGGAACAAGGAACGCCCUAAGAAAUCAUAACACAGCGACCAAAAGCUUAAAAGUUCAGCACCUUGCCCACAGUUGAAUGUUCUAUUGUUGUCAACUUUACUAUCAUUUGUUCUUUUUGUAUCAUCCUUCUUCGACACCCAUUAGCACUCUGCUGCUUCUGUUAUUGUCUGGCAUUUGUACGACAACUAUAGUCGUAUCAAAUCCAUUUGGUUUAUACAUAUAGUCAAAUCUUUUCGAAGGGAGAGGAAUCACCCUGCCUGCAAACACUGGUGGGAGUCUGUUCAUGGCAAUCGGCUUGGAGGCUGAUGCUAUGGUGGCCUCCCAGAAGUUGGUUCAUAAUGCUGGUAGAUGAUUUAUGAUCUUGCCCCUGUCAAAGGGAGUUUCUGUCUUUUUCUUCACCAACAGCCAAAGCUACAUAAACAAGCAAUCAGGAACGCUAAAGUCUUCAAUAAUUCUACAAACUACCCUACUGCGUUGACAAUACCAGAGUAGGUAGAGUAGAACAAGGGAUUCAACAGAGCUCCACAAAAAUCAAAUGUAAGAACAAGGAAGACCCUCAGAGAUCAUAGUACCAGUUCAAAAGAUCAUGACCCAGACGAUGCUCAUGGGCAAUUCAUACAAGUCUUUCCCACGCCACAACCAACAUCAUACUACAGGUAAGAACAAAAUAGACACCAGCAGAACAGAUUUCCAGCAAUUGGAAAGGCAUGCAUAACACAAGGACCAAAACUCAUAUAAAGUUCAGCACUUUGACAAGGAUCCAGCUAUCAGUUGGGCAAAGAAACAAUACCCACAAGCAAGAAUAAAAAGAGAAAGAUGCUAGUGAGAUAAAUCAAACAAUAUGUGCCCUCAGAUCAGUCCAGUUUAUGAAAAAUCACACAUGAGGCCAAACCGCUACCGCCGCCUGCAAAUAGUAAGAGCAACAGCAGCAGUUUACAACAUGGAUCAGAAGUCGGAAUCUGUGAACCGAUAAUAAUAAUAAUAAUAAUAAUAAUAACAAUGAUAAUAACAGCAGCAGCAGCAGCGAUGGCACAUUUGAAGAGAAGAAGAAGAAGAAGCUCAACAGAAGCAUUUCCAUGGAUCUAUCAUCAUCGGGCACAAUUAGUAAGGAGGGUAACUACAAACAGAGGAUUACUUCAGAACUUAGCCUACCAAAAGGAUCCAUUCGCCAUAGCGUAAGUGCCCAGGGAAUGCUGCGAUUGACGAGUGAAGGAUGUGCGAUGGAAGGCGGAACUACAAUUUGGCCCACUUAUUAUUCCCUUCUUCCUUUUUAGCCGUCGGAUCAAAUUCAAAAUCCACAAGAAUCUCGAGCAAAUAUGAUUUGUUCAUGUAGGUUGAGAUAUAUGGAUAUGGUUCGCCGGUCCAAUUCGGAUGGGAUGGUUGGGCUUUAAUCGAAGUUGGCCAACGCAUAACACAACCAGAUGGGGACAAUAUCUUAAUGUAAUAAAAUAACAUUAUCAUGAACAGACAUGUAUCAGAAACCGCCUACUACUUUCUUUUAUUAGCCAUUGAUCGAAUCAUGCACGAAAUCAGUAUAGUAAACAAAUUUUGACCGGAUUCUCAAUUUUAUUUUGACCGGAUUCUCUGAAAUUGUUACCGGCUAUUUUGAACACCUUUUGAAUCACAACCCUCAAACUCUCUGUUUCGUCAAGAACUCCAGUGUAAGUUGUAUGAAAACUUUGUUAACGUCGGUUCGAAUCAACACCAAUCAGUCGGCCUUUCAUAUUUAUGUUUGUUACGUGGGAUUUGGACUGGUUUUCACAUCAUCUCUCUGCAUUUGAUUCUGCAUGUAUAUUUUGUUGUCCCCUGCAUGAAAGUGAGUGCCUUUUUCUGAUUCUGGGUUUCCUUUGUUGCUUCAGAGUUCAGACGCAGUGGUCUACAAUGGGGAGCAAUAAGAGAAAUUGUAAAUCAGUAGAGGAAGUUGAAGGUGAAAAGCAACUCGCCAAUCCCAUCAAGAAGAAGCUGAAGAAGGACAAUAAGUCAAAGGGUAUUGGUAAUGUGGAUGCUACUGCUGUUUCUGUAAACGAUUCAGUCAAACCCAUGGAAAGAAAGAAACUAAGGAAAAAUUUGGACAAGGUGCGUCACCGCGGCCCGGAGAAGAGUGAACACGAGAAACCGAAACCAAUGGAUGUGGAUUCCAAAGUUGGCGAAACCAAGAGGGGACAAAUGGUAGCUUCAUCUAGUAAAGGAGUGCCUGCUUUCCACAUUGACGUUUUCAAGGAGUUGGCAUCCGCUGAUGCUUCUGUAAGAGCAGCUGGUGUUCAAAGACUAGUAACCGAGUUGCAGAAGGUUCAGAAUGCUUAUCAAAGCAAUAAGGAGUUGUAUGAAAGUGGGUUGGAAUUGGAGGCUGAUAAAGAUGAUGGCUUGAAUGAUACUGCACCUUCUGUCAGAUAUGCAAUUAGGAGACUUGUCCGUGGUGCUUCAUCAUCUACGGAGGUAGGCUUCUCUGAAUUACCCUAAUCUUGAUGCAUAUAGCCGAAUAGCAGAAUGACUUGAAUCAGUCUUUUCUUCAAGUUUCUGUACUUUCGAGAAUAGACUGAUUUACGUGUAGGGGUAGAGCACUGAGUUUUACUUGCAGUCAGUUUAACUAAACGUGAUGAACCUUAAGACUUGCGACUGCUUUGCUUGUCUUUUAUAACUAUUACCUUGUGUUGGUAUAUGUAUCUUGUAUCUCUGAAAUUUGUGUCUUUUUUAGUUUGUAUUGAUUUGUUAAAUCUGUUCCCUGUGUGCCAGACAGGGUUAUGCAUUGGGGUUGACUCUGUUGGUUUGUACAAUCUCUUCCAUCAAAGUUGAGUCCAUGCUGAAAUUAAUUAUUGUUAUGCUUAACCAUAGAAAACCCCUGAAAUUUCUUUGUUUGUGCACAGGAAGCAAAGGAUUGUCUUUUAGGUAGAUUAUUUUCAUACGGCGGUCUUGCUCGAUCGGGGAGGUUGAAUGAAUUGUGUAUUUCAGAUCCAAACACUCCAGUUAUCAAGGAGUUUGUCAGUGUACUUCUUACUCUUUCCGCAAAGAAAUCUUAUUUGCCGGAGCCUGUUGUUACAGUUAUCUUGGACUUGGCCGAGGAGGUAAUUUUGCUGCUUACUGAUGCAGGAUGUUGUUUUUCUCUUGCAAUUCUUUCCUGUUUGUUAUUGUUCAUGCGUCAGCUUUAUAGCAUGGUCUACCUAUGAUAUCAAUGUCCUCACCAAUUCUACGUACGGAUACAUUUUAUUUGUACAGUUGCAAGUGGAGCAGAUAUUGAACCAUGUACUCGAAGCUCCUGGACUUUCUGAGUGGUUUAGUGAUGCUGUGGAUGCUGGAAACCCGGAUGCUUUACUUCUAGCUUUGAGACUUUGGGAGAAAGCUUCAGUUGAUAGCUUAAAGUUUGGAAGAGUUCUGCCGUAUCCAUUCAGCCCUGGCAGCUUCUUUUCCUCUGAGCAUUUGAACCUACUUAAUAACUGUUGGAAGGUUGUUCUCUGGAAAUUUUUAUAAUUGAAGUUGUGUGUAACUGAGGGAGGUCUAACGGGUUUCUUUUCUCUUUCUUGUUUUUAAUUGGUGAAUGUGCAGAACUCAACUUCCUGCCAACCUCGAGUGCACAGCGUGUGGCCCGUUCUUGUAAACAUACUUUUGCCUGUAAUAAUUCCGAAGCUGAGGAUGUGAUCUCAGCAUCUAAUUCUCUGAAGAAGAAC